RNAcentral lists this non-coding RNA (27 nucleotides) under Rattus norvegicus (Norway rat). Lineage: Eukaryota; Metazoa; Chordata; Mammalia; Rodentia; Muridae. The record is from RNAcentral.
UGGCAAGAGACGACUCAGACGAGACCA